Molecule: transfer RNA, 37 nt
Filed under: Rieppeleon brevicaudatus (bearded pygmy chameleon)
Lineage: Eukaryota; Metazoa; Chordata; Lepidosauria; Squamata; Chamaeleonidae
Description: tRNA-Tyr
Source: RNAcentral
AGGUUUACAGCCUGCCGCCUGCCUCGGCCACCUAACC